Sinocyclocheilus rhinocerous is the source of this 1439-nucleotide long non-coding RNA. RefSeq lists it as uncharacterized. Lineage: Eukaryota; Metazoa; Chordata; Actinopteri; Cypriniformes; Cyprinidae. The record is from RefSeq and is a predicted model, not a curated record. The transcript has 3 exons.
CCUCUCGACCUCUUGUUUUUGUAGGAUCAGGUGGAGCCCAUGUCUGGAAUGAGCUUAUUGGCUGGGAAGGCGCUAAGCUCCGCCCGCAUGUCGGACAUCCUCAGCCAAUCGUCUCUGACAGGAAGCCAGCAGCUGCAGCAGAGGGAGGGGUCAGCGUGUGACGUGGAGGCAGACGUUCACCCCGCCGCGUGCUACCCUUCCUCCUGCACCAGUGACAUGCUGCUAAGCUACAAAACCCCGGAUCUGCAGUACAGCGUGGAGCAGGCCGGGGUCUAAUGAACACAGGGGUGUAUUUGCUGUAUAAAGCUCAUAUCCGUCUGCUGUGUUGUGCUGUCAUGCCAAAUCCUCAUCGUCUGUCUGUUGGGGUGUCGUGGGUGUGGCCUGCACGCAGGGGGCAGAGCUCCUGGCUUCCUCUUCCGCUGGGAGCGUCUCCAAUUGGCUGCAGCCCAGUAAUCAUCCGAAACCCCUCCUACCGUUGCCAUAGCGGUGCUGUCGCGCACUCCGAUGUACAAGGCAAACACAGAGUCUUACGUAAACACACACACACACACACACGAAGAGACGUCUUUACCAAACACCACAAACCCAAAGUAUUUCACGUGAAGCCUGCGCCGCGGCGGAUCAUUCCGGUCACGAUCGACCUCUUCCGCCGGGACAGUCGACUCUCACUCGCUCUCCACUUUCUUCACUUCUGUUUUUAUUUUUAACGCAUUUUUAUGGCUAAUGUUCUGUAGGAAUAAUGCUCAUUAUUGUUCUUGUUUUCUGUAAAAGACGUUUUAUGGUUAUGACAUUAUUAAAAGAAUGACGAUUAUUAUUAAAACCGCUCUGUGUUGCAAGAGAACAGCCGCGUUUGUUUCCUCACGGUGAUUUUUGCACUUUCAGUUUUUGUGACUUUCCUUUCGGUUUCGCUCUUCCUCCCUGUUUCUCGUUCUCCUCCUUCAUUCCGUCCGUCCGUCUGACGACAGGUGCAUUGUGGGUAGUUUCUCAGAUCCUUCUCAUGGGCCAUCUUCUUUUCUGUUUCAGAGCUUUAUCGGUUAUUUUUUGUGGAUGUUGUUGGGAAAGCUUUUGUAUAUUGUUGAUUUUGCGGUUUUAUUUCUGUUCUGAUGUCAUGUCGGAUGGACGCUUCGUUUCACAUCUCGCUCUGAGUUUAAAGCCCAAACGCGCCCAAAUUGGACGAUUUUUCAGUCUGACCAAUCCAAUAACUGUCAUGUGAUCGUCUGAGAGACGGGUGCGAGUCUGUGAUGAAGAGCACCAUCAUCUGUUUGUGUCACGCUCCUCCCUCUUGUCCUUUAUAGAGCUUUGUCAUUUUCUUUUGUUUUGUUUAUUUUUGGCUUUAUGUUUUUGGAAAAAUACUAAAGUGCAACAACAAUGGUUAAAAAAGAUUCCAAACAAACUGAGAGAAAUAAUAAAUAUAUAUAUAAAUAAAGAAAUGACUAUGA